RNAcentral lists this unclassified non-coding RNA (1655 nucleotides) under Hevea brasiliensis (rubber tree). Lineage: Eukaryota; Viridiplantae; Streptophyta; Magnoliopsida; Malpighiales; Euphorbiaceae. The record is from RNAcentral.
UUCCAAUAGGGAGAAGGGAGAGGUAGAAAAAAAGAAACAAGAAAACAAAGAAGAAGAAAAGAAACCAACCCUCUUAUAUGUUAUCACAAAUUGGUGUUGAGAAGUGGGAAAAUGUUGAAAAUGUCAAACAUUAUGGUGGUGUUUUUGGGUUUGUUUUUGUGGGUUUGUUCUUCUGGAAUGGCUUCUGUAACUUAUGACCACAAAGCCAUAAUCAUCGAUGGCCGGAGGAGAAUUUUGAUUUCUGGUUCUAUUCAUUAUCCAAGAAGCACUCCUCAGAUGUGGCCAGAGCUUAUACAGAAGGCUAAAGAUGGAGGGUUGGAUGUUAUUGAGACAUAUGUGUUUUGGAAUGGCCAUGAGCCUUCUCCUGGACAGUAUUAUUUUGAGGAUAGAUAUGACUUGGUGAGAUUUGUAAAGCUGGUUCAACAAGCAGGCUUAUAUGUUCAUCUACGGAUUGGCCCAUAUGUUUGUGCAGAAUGGAACUUUGGUGGAUUUCCUGUUUGGUUAAAGUAUGUUCCUGGGAUUGCCUUUAGGACUGACAAUGGACCCUUCAAGGCGGCUAUGCAAAAAUUCACUGAGAAGAUUGUCAGCAUGAUGAAGGGGGAGAAGUUAUAUCAUAGCCAAGGAGGACCCAUUAUUCUGUCUCAGAUUGAGAAUGAAUAUGGACCAGUGGAGUGGGAAAUAGGUGCUCCUGGUAAAUCUUACACCAAAUGGGCUGCUCAAAUGGCAGUAGGUCUUGACACUGGAGUACCAUGGGUGAUGUGCAAGCAAGAGGAUGCCCCUGACCCUGUGAUUGACACCUGCAAUGGGUUUUACUGUGAAAACUUUGAACCGAACAAGGUCUAUAAACCCAAAAUGUGGACAGAAGCCUGGACUGGUUGGUUCACUGAGUUUGGAGGCCCAGUUCCUUAUAGGCCAGUUGAAGACUUGGCCUAUUCUGUUGCAAGAUUCAUUCAGAAUCGUGGUUCUUUCAUUAAUUAUUAUAUGUACCAUGGAGGGACUAACUUUGGCCGAACUGCUGGCGGACCUUUCAUCGCCACUAGCUAUGACUAUGAUGCUCCCAUCGAUGAAUAUGGCCUAUUAAGGGAACCAAAAUGGGGUCAUCUAAGAGAUCUGCACAAAGCAAUCAAGUUAUGCGAACCCGCUUUAGUAUCGGUAGAUCCUACUGUGUCAUCGUUAGGAAGCAAGCAAGAGGCUCAUGUCUUCAAGACAAGAUCAGGGGCGUGUGCUGCUUUUCUAGCAAACUAUGAUCCAUCAUCGUCUGCUAGAGUCACCUUUGGAAAUAAACCAUAUGACCUGCCACCUUGGUCCGUCAGCAUCCUUCCUGACUGCAAAUCUGUCAUUUUCAACACGGCAAAAGUCAAUGCUCCAAGCUCACAGCCUAAGAUGACGCCAAUUAGUUCAUUUUCAUGGCUUUCGUACAAUGAAGAGACUGCUUCUGCGUAUGCUGAUGAUACAACCACCAUGGCUGGGUUAGUAGAGCAAAUAAGUGUAACCAGGGAUGCCACAGAUUAUUUGUGGUAUAUGACAGAUAUAAGGAUCGACUCGAAUGAAGGCUUCUUAAAGAGUGGACAAUGGCCUCUUCUCACUAUCUUUUCAGCAGGCCAUGCUUUGCAUGUGUUCAUAAAUGGCCAACUAUCUGGAACUGUAUAUGGGGG